This 498-nucleotide small RNA is filed under the name Pongo abelii (Sumatran orangutan). RNAcentral describes it as "processed transcript". The record is from RNAcentral. Lineage: Eukaryota; Metazoa; Chordata; Mammalia; Primates; Hominidae.
AGUAAUCUAGAACAUUCUCAAGCCUCUUUCACUCAGUUGCCAAGCCACUGGGCAAACCCAGUCAAUACCUCCCACCAAGGAAUGAGAUAUGUGGACCUCCCUGCUCCCCCAACCCGGCGUCAGGCUGGGACACGCCAACGCUGUUCUGGGUUGGAACAGCAGAGGCUCAGAAGCUGGCUCUGAAAGAGGCAGACCUAGCAAAAGGAAGAUACAGGGUAUCGGGCGUUUGAGUGUUUCAGAAGUCACUCGGGAAGAUAAAUCCAGUGCGCUGGGCACAGCCACCUGCAUUCAAAGCUUGGACCAGCGGGUUCUUGUUCAGGAGGCAAAUUUCCCUAGGAAAAAGAAGACAGACUUUUCUAAUGCGGUCCAAAUGCCGGUCACUGGUCAGAUGGACUGUAGAAGGACUGAGCUCCCUGUCUCUGGAAGCAUUUAAGAAAAGAUCACGCCACUGCACUCCAGCCUGGGCAACAAGAGCAAAACUCCAUCUCAAAAUAAAAA